GAGUACAUGAGAGUUCUUUAUUCCUGUUCUCUCUACUCUUGUUAUGUGUGUAAUUUCUAUUUUUAAAAGGGUUUAUUUAAGAUAAGAGAAAAGAAAAAAAUUGAAAAAGUGUUUGACAAUAUCCAUUUCUGAGUUUUAAAAAAAGCUCUCAACGAACUAGAGAAUACAAGGGAGCUUCCUCAACUUAAUAACAAUCUAUGAAAAUCCUCAGACCCGGAGUUGACCAUUUCUCCAAGGAGCACCUAUUGCCUUUAAUUCGAAAUGGUAUUUAUUAUGCCUUUUCUCUUUGAUACAAACAAUGAAAUUUUUUUUAUCUUUGUCUGCC
Long non-coding RNA from Bos taurus (domestic cattle), 325 nucleotides. NCBI's taxonomy places the organism in Eukaryota, Metazoa, Chordata, Mammalia, Artiodactyla, Bovidae. The record is from Ensembl.